UAGAAGAGAAACUGAAGAUGUGUCCACACUGUAACCAGCAAUAUCACAGAUCACAGUGCCACCAGCCAAUAGUGCAGACGGUGACCAGUGAACUCAUUACAAUUGUUGUACCCUCUGAAUGAGAAUGGCCUUGGCAGGCAAUUACACUGGCUGUGCAUGAAUGUGUGAUUCUCAAAGAGCUUCUGUGCUUAAGCAAUGGCUUCAUUUUUUGGUGGUCGGGUUAGACUGACCAGAAGAUCUAGGAUCCUUCAGUGGCUUCAAAUGAAUGUAUUUGGUCUAGUAUAGUGUUACAGUGCAGCAUAUAGCUGUGGACUACAGGCAUACAUAGUGAAACUGCUACAUUUUUAUUCUGCUAAUUCAGUUAUCAGCAGAAUGAAGCUGGAAGGAAACAUUUACAGCUCAGAAGUGCCACUGAUGUUGCCCAGAGGUCAUACAUCUCAUCUGCCAGUGAGGACUUGCUUGUCUGCAGUGCUCUAAAGGGUCUCUGACUCAUAAGA
This is a long non-coding RNA of Dromaius novaehollandiae (emu), 497 nucleotides long. RefSeq lists it as uncharacterized. The record is from RefSeq and is a predicted model, not a curated record. The transcript is spliced from 3 exons. Lineage: Eukaryota; Metazoa; Chordata; Aves; Casuariiformes; Dromaiidae.